AACUAGCUGAUAAUUUUUUCUCCCAGUUUGGAAAACUCACAACUGUGCUCUGAAAGCACAGCCCUGCCACAGAUAAAUAAGCUAUGUAAUGUUGUCAACAUGACUCCCCAAAGCCACACUAACAAACUGCUUGAUUCUCCUCAGCGGCAGUACAGGUCUGUAUGUUAAGUUUACAAACACAGCAUCUGAAAAGCACUUUGUUUUUAUGUCAGAAUCAAAUACCCUGCAAGUCUUACUUAUUAAUAUACAUACACUUUCAAACUGUGCUGAGCAACACAUAAAGACCGCCAGUGAUUUUGCAUGGAUCCUCAAGUCAAAAGCAGGAAAAAACAGGGCUUCACUUAAAUUCUCUGGAGAACAGUAUCACUGGAAAACUGAGGCAUUCACCUUCUGAGGGCA
This is a long non-coding RNA of Strigops habroptila (Kakapo), 399 nucleotides long. RefSeq lists it as uncharacterized. NCBI's taxonomy places the organism in Eukaryota, Metazoa, Chordata, Aves, Psittaciformes, Psittacidae. The record is from RefSeq and is a predicted model, not a curated record. The transcript has 2 exons.